This is a long non-coding RNA of Magallana angulata, 1384 nucleotides long. RefSeq lists it as uncharacterized. The record is from RefSeq and is a predicted model, not a curated record. The transcript is spliced from 3 exons. Lineage: Eukaryota; Metazoa; Mollusca; Bivalvia; Ostreida; Ostreidae.
CAAACAACACACGACAAAACAAGCCAUCAGCAACAAAACAUUUAAAAAAACAACAGUAUAAAACACAACAAUACAACAAAGUCAUAAGCCAACAAAGGUCAAUAAUGAUAAUCUAUUUAAACAAGCACACCAAUCAUAAACAACAAGUUCAUGGCCAGUUAUCACCCGGGAUCGAUCCUCAUCUAAUUCCAUCGUAUCAUCGCCAUUAACCUGCCGCCUUUUGAUUUAGUUUUAAUACACCUAGUCAUUUUUAAUUAACCUUGGGUUUAAAGACUUUCACGCGUCCUGAAUUACUAAAAUAAAGGACCUAUUUUUUCAAGAACUCGUUAUUCUGAAAAUUCCACGCAUCAAAACAUUGCGUGAGAUAUAUACAUAAAAUGAAUGUGACUAACCCUAUAUCAUUUUAAUAACGGAUUUAAUGAAAAUGAUUGAUGAAUAUUUAAAACAGGAAUAUUAUUUUUAAAACGAUUCAACGAUAUCAAUAAUAUCGGUUAAUGUUAAAUUAACACUAGAGAAACUAAAGAAAUGAAGGGUUAUAAAAAAUCUAGAAUUGCAAAAUGUAAAAUAAACAACAAAUAGUCCAAGAAAAUUUAAUUAAGCCUUUAGACAUAUCGCCCCUCUGUAUUUUGCAAAGUAUUCAGUGUAGUCUACGAAAGAGAAUUGCAAUUCCGUUUUUGAAUCUUUACCAGGAAAUGCAAUAUCACGUGACUUAUCUACGUCAAGAGGUUAAGUGUCAACUGUCCAUACCAUGGCAACAUGAAUAUAAUAUGCACCUGCAAGUUCACAUAGGAAGCAAGGCGCAAAGUACGGCGCAGAGAUUGGUACAUGCGGCUCCAAGGUGUUGGCGGAUCAACCUCCCCGGGGCACGGGAACCCAGUGUUUCGUGUGUUCUAGGAUUUUGAAAAAUAACAUAGCUUCAAGGCUUGACGCGGAAGCAGGUGGGACGAGGAAUUCAUGAACACGACAUGACUUGUUGUAUAGGAGGGACCCAGCUUGCUCCCCCAUUGUCAAUGACAUACCUGAAUCUAGGAGUCGUCAUAAAACAGCCAAAGCUAGGCCGCAUCAGAAGGACCUUGAAGAAUACAAGGACCACGCCCCACCCUCCUCCAAUGGCCGACCAGGGACCGUCGGUCGAUAACCCGAGCUGCCCCCUCCCGACAGACCUCAUGGCCGGACAUCCACGUGUGUGGCACCCACUGGACUCAUACUUGUAAUAUAUACGACACACGAGGGCAUGUGUUAUCUAAAGUCACGAUUUUGACCGGUCCCCCCGAUGUUGCUCUUCAUUAAAUACCCCGAGAAUUCACAGACAGAACUUCGUGUUAAAAAUGAAAAAACAUUAAAUGCAAAAUUAUGGUUUUAUCUUUGUUUUUUUUUUAAGUGU